AGAGAUGUGUGAUGACGCAUAUCAAUAAGCGGAGGAAAAGAAACUAACAAGGAUUCCCUUAGUAACGGCGAGUGAAGCGGGAAGAGCUCAAAUUUGAAAUCUUCAAGGUUCUACCUUGACGAAUUGUAGUUUAUAGAAGUGUUUUCUGUUAGUAGAGUGGCAAAAGUUCUUUGGAAUAGGACAUCAUAGAGGGUGCGAAUCCCGUAUUUGGUCAUUCUUUCUAGCUUUGUGAUACACUUUCAACGAGUCGGAUUGUUUGGGAAUGCAGUCCAAAAUGGGUGGUAAAUUUCAUCUAAAGCUAAAUAUUGGCGAGAGACCGAUAGCGAACAAGUACCGUGAGGGAAAGAUGAAAAGAACUUUGAGAGGAGAGUUAAACAGUACGUGAAAUUGUCAAAAGGGAAGCGUUUGACACCAGUGUUGUUUUUCCGAAAAUCAAUUACGAAUGUUUUAUUUUUGAGGAGUUAUGACCUCAUCGGCUUGCUCCUUUCUUUAUGAAACUUUCUUAAUGCGCUUUUCGGUUAACAAGUCAACAUCAAUUUCUUUUGUUGUAAAAGGGUAUGAGGAAGGUGGCUUUCUUUUCGGAGAAAGUGUUUAUAGCCUUGUACCUCUGCAAUCGGAGAGAUUGAGGUCUGCAGCGUAGAUCCUUCGGGGUUAGAUACAUUUGUGCUAAGUUAUAGCUUUUCAUAGACAACUUGUUGACUAUGUUAAGUCUUGUAGCUUACUCGCUUACGCUAUUUUACCUACGCUUAGGAUGUUGACGAUCAGCUGAGCGCG
RNAcentral lists this ribosomal RNA (774 nucleotides) under uncultured Neocallimastigales. RNAcentral describes it as "partial large subunit ribosomal RNA". It matches the Rfam family "Eukaryotic large subunit ribosomal RNA", at positions 23 to 646 of the family's 3401-position model. The record is from RNAcentral. Lineage: Eukaryota; Fungi; Neocallimastigomycota; Neocallimastigomycetes; Neocallimastigales.